This 396-nucleotide ribosomal RNA is filed under the name uncultured bacterium. Its description in RNAcentral is "bacterial SSU rRNA". It matches the Rfam family "Bacterial small subunit ribosomal RNA", at positions 30 to 429 of the family's 1533-position model. The record is from RNAcentral.
AUUGAACGCUGGCGGCAUGCCUUACACAUGCAAGUCGAACGGCAGCACGGGGGCAAUCCUGGUGGCGAGUGGCGAACGGGCGAGUAAUGUAUCGGAACGUACCUUUCAGUGGGGGAUAACGUAGCGAAAGUUACGCUAAUACCGCAUAUUCUGUGAGCAGGAAAGCAGGGGAUCGCAAGACCUUGCGCUGAUUGAGCGGCCGAUAUCAGAUUAGCUAGUUGGUGAGGUAAAGGCUCACCAAGGCGACGAUCUGUAGCGGGUCUGAGAGGAUGAUCCGCCACACUGGAACUGAGACACGGUCCAGACUCCUACGGGAGGCAGCAGUGGGAAUUUUGGACAAUGGGCGCAAGCCUGAUCCAGCCAUGCCGCGUGAGUGAAGAAGGCCUCGGUUGUAAG